UCAGGGUUUGUUCCAAAUGUGAGAGGUGCUGCUCCAUGUCGGGGAUGUAUACUAAUAUAGUAAUAUGUCAUCGAAAAAUACUAGUGUAAAACAACAAAGAUAGGGGCGAAAUAAGUCGUUCAUGACAGCCUGAAAUGUAAAGGGAGUGUGUGUUAGGCCGAAUGGCAUAGCCUUGAACUCAGUGUGCCCAGAAUGACUGUGAAAGGCUUUUUUUGGUAUGUCCGUGUCGUGUACCCUGAUAUGUAAAUUUAACUUUGAAUACACCGUGUGCCAGACAACUCAUCUAACAGUUCAUCAAUAUUUGGGAGUGUUACUUAUUGGCUAUAGUAACCUUGUUUAGAGCCCUGUAAUCCACACACAUCAAGUAUUACCCUUCUUGACCAACAAAAUCUGGCAUGAAAAUUGAUCAUUGUUUGAUCGAAUAGAGCCUGCUACUAACAAUUCUUCCACUUGUUUCUCUAUUUCAGCCUUUUGAGAGUGGGGGUAUUGAUAUGAACGUAUUUGGGAGGCGUCGAGUUUGAAAGUAGGGGAAUUGAGUGGUUUUGUGGAUGCUAUGGGGAAAGAUUUUUCAGCUCUUCAAAAACGUGGUUAUGGUGUUUUAUAACAGGUCGUAAUAGGGUUGGAAUUUCGGGAUUACUGCCCGGUCGAACAGCUAAAUGUUGAAAAUUUGAUGACUUUAGGGUCCCCGUUAUAAUACUCUAGAGUUUGUACGUUUGCCAUUGAAUUCCCAAUACCAAAUAUGAACCACCCACUGAAAAUGGAUAAAAGUUCUGGAUUCCCAAUACCAAAUCUGCCCGGUCGAACAGCCACUAAAUUCCCAAUACCAAAUCUGCACCACCCACUGAAAAAGGAUAAAAGUUCUGAACAUCUUUGAGGCAUUGAUUUGAAGUGUGAGUCCCUAUUUGAACACCAAAAGGUGUCAUUGCUUGGGUAUCAAGUUUCAUUCAUUUGCCAAUACAUCUGAGGUGAAAUUGUGGAUCUCCGAUCAACUAAAACUAGUAACUCAGUAGAUUCCAAUAUACCUUGAACUAUCAUAACUAUAAGGUUUACCAAAAAUCGCAUGUAAGCUGAUCUAGGCAACAUUGCUAUUAUCUCCCUCUGUCUGAUCGGCCUCAUUAAAGGGCUUCUCAUCGAAGUCUCCGCUACUUCCGGCACCUUUAGAGUGCCUGUUUUACACCUAUGACCUGGUCCGUAUGUCCCCACACAGGUAACACUCACCCCUGAGCAGCAGGACUUUUUUCUGCAUCAGAAAUUCGUUGGGGUUUUUUGAAGUUGGUGGAUGGGGCUGGUGUAUAAGUUGAAGAUUUGGGGUCGGUUGUUUUGAGUUUGAAGGUGCUGUCCAGGUUGGCCCAAAUUACAAAGCAAACUCACCCUCUGUAUACCGUUCUCGGUUUCUGAAUUCUUACAUCCGCUUUCAGUUCUUCUUUGAGGCCAUUGAGGAACACCCCUAGGAAACAAUGUCCAGGCCAAUUAGAAACCCAGGAAGAACGUGUAGCGAUUUCUUGUCGGUACUCUUGUACCAUUCCUAGGCUGUACAAAUGUUCAUCUGAGUUUUGAAUCUCCGCAGGCCCAAAAAUUUUCUUUAGGGCACGAAUUAUUUUAUCCCAAUACCGUUUCGGUUGGUCAGUGGAAAGCCAGGGAUACAAAUCUAGUGUGUCUCCUUCCAAGUGCAUUCACGCAACAUCUACCUUCUUUUCUUCCGAUAUAUUGUAGUGAAGGAAAUACUUCUCAGCCUUAAGGACGCAACCUUGAGGGUAUCCAUCACGGCAUCACUAAAUGUGGGAAAAUCAAUUUCGUUUUAGGGGCGGUACCUAUGAGGAUGUCAGAAUGAUUCACCCUCGUCUUGCUUUUUGAAAUUGCUAUCUAAUCAGUUCUUAUGGUGCGAUUGUGUUUUGGGAGCCACAACAUCUCUCUGUAGUUUAUUUAAUUUUUUAGCUAUGGUGGCCAACUAUGUUGCAAUUGGGUCUGGUGGGUUACUGCCUUCAUCUGAAUCGGGUCUGUAGCAUGCUUUCAAAUUUCUUGGCAAUGGAACCAAUGAUAAAUAGUAUUAAAGAUCAUAAGGAUAAGCGGGAAAGUGAUUCAAAGUUUGAUGAAAGAAAAGCCAAAUUCGAGAUGGCAUGUCUCCAUUAUAAUGUUAUUACAUGAAAGAAAAAUACUUGAAUAACCAAACUAAAACGUAGGCCUGCUAAUAUAAUAAAACUGAAGUUAACUGCCCCUAAUCUGAAGGAUCUGAACUGCUUCUUUCGCUUCAAGUUGCCCAAUAGUUUGCUCACCCAAUGGGUCCACCCAGAAUCCAGAAAUAGCAUUAAAUUGCUCCUGAUUCUCAUCAGCUGCUUUGACUCGUCUUUUUUUUUGUGUAAACCUUGAGGUUUGUAUCAGUUUCCAUGUACGAGUGGAAAAGAUCAUGAAGUAUGAUUUUCAAAGUUAUAAUUUUAUCCUGCCAAGAGGCUCUUCCGAAUUUGUGAAGAGGUAGGGUUAUUUGAUUAUGGUGUUUGCAAACCGCGAAUAGUCAGAAACUAGUGUUUGACAAAUCAUUUGGAAAUCUGCUUAUUUGCACACAAAAAAAAAAAAAAUCAGAGAGAGAACAUGUUUCUGAACAAGUAGGUUGACCUGCCUUUUGAAUCUGCCGUUUUGCAAGCGCAAUUUAAAGUCACUAAGUUAGUAAUAAAACUGCGUGUUUACCGCUUGGUUUAAAAUGUAUCAUUGUGAUUAUAUUAUGAGUUAUUGAUAAAGUUAGGGCAAAUGUACAAUUUGAUGAUCAGUUUUGCUGCAGCUAGUAUCAAACUUAUCAGUAAAAACCGAUUAUUUGACUUUCAUAUUGGCAUAUUCUUACUGGGAACUGAGUAUUGUAACUUAAGGUCUCGAUACUUAGAUACUUGCAUUCAUAGUGUACAUCCAAUAAACCCGAAAAUCCAGCUGUUUGUAAUUCCUACUGUGUUUCUUAAUUGAAGCCACUGAUAACCGGCUGCUUUUUGUUGGUAGACUCAAUGGUUAAUACAGGUCAAGAUGGUGGUAAACGAAUGGGACUUAAUUUCAAACAUGUGAAUUGGUGCACAACCCUCAGAUCCAGUGCAACAUCUUCUAUUCAGGGCAGGGUUGCUACCACCACCACCACCCAUGGUUGCAAUGGGAUGAAAAGGUGGGCCUUGGACACACAUCCGGUUGACUCCUUGGGUGGACGUGUCAUGAUGCCUGAACACUCUACUAAAGCUAGUAACGUAUCCGUGGAUGAACCACCAUGAAUGACGUAAACAUCAGUCUUGGGGAUCUGCUAGUUUUAAGUUCUGGAGUUGGUCUUUUUGGUAAAGUUUAGAACUACUUGGCAUAAUUUCCAGUGAUAAUGAAAAUUACAUCACUAGAAGUUCAUCAGUUGUUUGUCAUUUGAUGUAGCAAAUUUAUGUUAUGGUUUGGUAAAUCUUUGAUGCUAGUGUGUUGUGUUAGCGAAUGGCCUCGGAGGCUUGCUAAAUGCCAAUAUGUGUGUCAAAGUUCUUCCUAAGCAUGCUAUCAUCAUUCACUGCCCUGAAUGUGAUUGCUACUUGCAGCUACCUAGAACUUGGCAUAAAGCUCAAAUUGAUUUUGAAAUAAGCAAGGUUGAUUCAUGCAGUGUUUAUCUGGAUGGAACCUCACUCUAAAAGGAUUAAAGUCAAGCUGGGAGUUGGAAAAGAGGUUAUGAAUGGUGCGGUUCUUGAGCAAAGCUUAUAUGGUUAAGUCUGCGAUUCAGGAUCAAAUAUGUGAGUCGUCAUCUUGAGUUCAAGCCAACCCUGAUCAGUAGGUGGCUGCUGCUAACACGACACUUUACCCACAGGCAGACUUUCUUCUAUUCAGAACAACCUGUUCUUAAACAUGAUGCUAUUGUUAGAGUCAUAAGAAUUAACAAAUGGAUCUUCGGAUCGAUUUCUUUUUCUCUUGCAUUAGUCAUGCAGUUAAUUUGGUGGAGUUCAUGCAUAAAGUUUUCCCGAUAAAGAGCCGUAGACUGUAGUGUGUAGCGACAAGCAACUUGUAUCACUUGGUUCUAGAAAAAAUAGCUAUAACUACAAUUAAACCCUUUCCGUUGAAAUUUGCUUUGCCUAAUUUGUCAUGAAGAUUUUAUU
This is a long non-coding RNA of Erigeron canadensis, 4091 nucleotides long. RefSeq lists it as uncharacterized. The transcript is spliced from 2 exons. The record is from RefSeq and is a predicted model, not a curated record. NCBI's taxonomy places the organism in Eukaryota, Viridiplantae, Streptophyta, Magnoliopsida, Asterales, Asteraceae.